RNAcentral lists this transfer-messenger RNA (336 nucleotides) under Terrihabitans soli. RNAcentral describes it as "Rhizobiales bacterium IZ6 transfer-messenger RNA". It matches the Rfam family "Alphaproteobacteria transfer-messenger RNA". Rfam says of the family: Bacterial tmRNA, also known as 10Sa RNA or SsrA, is named for its dual tRNA and mRNA-like properties. Its role is to liberate the mRNA from a stalled ribosome. Lineage: Bacteria; Pseudomonadati; Pseudomonadota; Alphaproteobacteria; Hyphomicrobiales. The record is from RNAcentral.
CUAUAUUCAAAGGUGCCGGCUUCGGCCGGCUAUGGUGAUAAACGGCCUUCGUAAUAAGCCAUUCGGACCCGGGGGCAGUACCCGGCGCCUCCACCAGAACCCAUCCGUGCGGUGGGCUGUGGCGGGGGCGAAACAGGAUCGACGAGGGUGUAAAAGUUGCGCUUUUGCCCGGCAUUGUACCGCCGUUACAGGGCUAACUUAUAGUUGCCAACGACAACUAUGCUCCGGUGGCCGUCGCUGCGUAAUGCAGUGCCGGUAUCGGUAUUAAAGUCCUGAUUGGCUAGCACCUUUUAGGCGGGGUUCGGAGGCACCUGGCAACAGAAGCCUCCACUUUCG